This 257-nucleotide ribosomal RNA is filed under the name uncultured bacterium. RNAcentral describes it as "partial 16S ribosomal RNA". It matches the Rfam family "Bacterial small subunit ribosomal RNA", at positions 96 to 354 of the family's 1533-position model. The record is from RNAcentral.
UGGCGAACGGGUGAGUAAUACAUCGGAACGUGUCCGCUCGUGGGGGACAACCAGCCGAAAGGUUGGCUAAUACCGCAUGAGUUCUACGGAAGAAAGAGGGGGACCCGCAAGGGCCUCUCGCGAGCGGAGCGGCCGAUGACUGAUUAGCCGGUUGGUGAGGUAACGGCUCACCAAAGCAACGAUCAGUAGCUGGUCUGAGAGGACGACCAGCCACACUGGGACUGAGACACGGCCCAGACUCCUACGGGAGGCAGCAG